AGCUGUCACUUCACACCGCCUAAAUUUAACGCGAUAUUUGGUGUAAUUUUCACACCAUAAUUUCACACCUUUACACUACACCAAAUCCAAAAAUUUUUGACAGUGUAACAAACAAUAAUUUCAUAUGAUCAACACAAUAUUUUGUCUUUUAUUUUACCAACUGAUAUCAAGUGAUAAUAAUAAUAUUUUUCAUAUCACAAUAAUAUAAAAAAUAAAUUAAAUACCAGUAAAUAUAUACGGCUUAGUUACAUAACCCAGACACAUUAGUAGAAGCCGUAUUAGAGUAAUAAGAGUGGUAACUAUAAUUCAAAGUAAAACCGCUUCAUAGAAGUGAUGAAGCCUCGUCUAGGUCGCGAAAUUUAAUACAAUUAAAUAAUACAUAUAUAUAAAUAUACUAAAGCAUCAAACUAAGCAAAGUACUAUAUACUGUCAUGUAAAAAAUUAUUUCCCGAUUAUUUUUCUCAUUCACAUUCACAUAAAUAAGCGUAUGGCAAAUAGCUUACAUUUGCUGGGCAAAACCAAUCAACUCGGUUCAUUCGUCUUCGACUUUUUAAAAUAGUAAUCAUUUUAAGUUUAUUUUCACUUGAGGAUACUUGUAAGUUACAGCACAUAUACGAUGAUAUAUAGGUACAACAAUACUGUACUGCAUUAAACGACAUAACGUUGGGAGAACGAGGUACUGGUAACAUGUCAUCGGUUAGAAUAAAUAAUACCGUCAUUUGUUAUGUUUUGACGGGAUACACGAGUGUUACUGAUUGCCAGGUGUAUAAAGAAUAAAAUAAUAAAAUAAAAAAAUAAAUGGAAAUUGUAAUUAUCAUUUAUAUAAAAGGGGUUGCAUAUAUAUGUGGAUGUCAAGUUGUUAACCGAUAAAAAGAAAUAAUAAUGAUAUUAAAAAAGAAGAAGGGUAUGAUUGUAUAUUUAUAUAUAUAUAUAUGCAUAUAUAUUUAUGUUAUAUUAGUACUGACAGACAAGUAAUGUAUGAAAACAGUCGAUUCCAAGGCCACGCGAUAUGUCCAAGUUGACAUGAUGCGAUAACACAUUCACGUGUAUGUUAUAUAUAAAUAUAUAUAUGUGAAAUAUAUCAUACAUAUAACGAUACACGUUUUUUUCAGACAGGUAUGUUAUGUAUGUCUUCGGAUGAUUUGACGAAUGUACACGUAAUUUUGUCGACAGAGUCAAUUCAAAUGAUGAAGCAUUUUUUUUACGAUAAAUUUAGUUUUUAUAAAAAUAAUAAUAGUGAUAAUGAUAGUGAUUGAAUAGAGGAAUUAUUUAUAUAUAUAUAACUGUAAGCCAUUAGAUAAAUUUAUACAAAUGCUUUAAAACUGCAUUAAUAAAUUAAAAGUUUAAAUUUGAAAAAAAAAUUUUUAUUUUUCAAAUCUCUGGAGUCCCGCCAAUAGUUCACGAGUAUUUUUUUAUUUCUAUUUUUGUUUUUCUUACUUUUAAAACUCGCUAGACUUAUCUCGCAUUAACAAUUGCGUUUCACUGGAUUUUAUUAUUAUAUUUUUAUUUUAUAUGACAUAUUAUUUGUUGUUUGUUAUUUAUAAAUUUUAUUGUUUUUUUUUUAUUUUUCAAACAGUUGAGUCAUACACAAUUGAAGUAAACACUAAGCAGAUAACAGCAGCAAUUUACAAAGUUACUGCGACAUUGUCAGCACAUAUACAAUAUAUAUAUAUAUACAUACAUAUAUGAGUGGUAUGAAAAUUUAAACAGUAUCAAGGUUUUAAUUUUCUUUUCUUUUCAUCAAAAUUUUAAUCUCGAAAUCUGUUUGUUUAAAUUUAUUUUAAUUCCUCUUGAUAUUUAAAUAUUUCUUAUAUACUUUAUAUAAAUAUUUACUCAUAUCAAUAAAGGAAUCACCGGAUUCGUGCUUGCAGACAUACUGACUCUCUAUUAAAUAUUUAAAAUGGCAACAUCGCAUCACGUUACAUACAAUUGUCAUACUAUCAAACAGUCGUCACCGUCACGGUCACAAGUAUUAUACACUAAGGAAAUUUAUAAUGUAUAAUAAUGUCAUGUAAGUGAAGACAUGUAUUACUUUGUCGUUCAUGGACCUGUGUGUGCAUAUACAUGAUUCCAUUGGGGACAUACCGACACGGCGCACGUGUAUCAAGAAGACGUCAGUGAAGUUAUGAAAAUUUUCGAUGCAGACGUGGAUAAUUGACGUGGCAGCUAAGAGCGAAUUCAUGAAUACUCAAAAUAAAUCAAUAAGAAGAAAAAGGAAUUAUCCUGAUAUUUUGACGAAAAUUUAUCACUUAAUCAGUGAUUAUAAUUGAUGUGAUGAUUAAUUGUAAGGUAUUACUGUACUUGUUAUCAAAAAGUGACAAAUGUUUUUAGUCUGUAGUUUAUCGCCUCUGUACUACCAUUUUUUUACUUAACCAUACAUAUAAAUAUAUGUACUAUUUUAAUUAGUCUAAAAAAUUUUAUGAUUUAUAUAUUUUAUUAGAUUAAUCCACGGCAUAAAUUUGAAUAUAUUUAAUAUCAGGGGAUUAAUUUAUCAGUUUCUUAACGUUAACUCUAUAUUUAUAUAUAACAACUGUGAUAUAUUUUAUUAAAAUGUCAAUAAUGAUCAUCUGCAAAAUAAUCAACAACUGUUCUAAAACGUGGUUGAAUAUCAAAUUCAAACCAAUGCCUAUUUUCUUCCCAAUCAUCGGCACUCUUAUUUAUAUCUAACGAAUUAUCAUCCAUGGAUUUCAAUUUAUAACUACAUAACAGCACUAUUUCUCUUUGUAAAUUAAAUAUUAUAAUGUCCAUAUUAUUAUAACAAUUGUAUAUAUAUAUUUAAAUACACGUAAUAUUUAUAACAAUCCACGUACAUUUCACUAUUUCAAAUGAUAACAUUGUCUGUUUUUUUUAUCACUACGACAUUUUUUUAACUUGUGUUAUAUAUAUACAUAUAUACACACAUAUAUGUAUGCAUUUACGUCUACACUAAAUCGUUUAAUAAAAAAUAUAUAUAUAUAUUAAAUAAAAUAAAGUUUGUUGCCGAGGGCAAAUCAUACAGGCAAGAGAAGAAAAGCUAAACGGCUUCUCUUGACAUCGACUAUAGAGCAAUUAAGAUAAUAAUAGUAGUAGGGGAAGACAAAAAAAAAUAUGGAAGCAAUAACCAAACCUGUACAUUAUUAUUGUAUUAAUGAAAUUUAAUUAAAUGUCAUAUAAACAUA
Molecule: long non-coding RNA, 3158 nt
Organism: Microplitis mediator
Lineage: Eukaryota; Metazoa; Arthropoda; Insecta; Hymenoptera; Braconidae
Exons: 5
Source: RefSeq, a predicted model, not a curated record